CGAUUCCCAAAAGCGCUCCUCCUUGGCGAUUUACAAUCUCUUUCUUCUUCAUCUCUUUGUUUUUCUUCUUCGAUUCAGUCUGAUUAUGAUCGGCGACGCAUCUCUCGAUCAGAUCCAUGUCUAAAUUCCCAUAUUCUAAGGUAUAAAUCUCUUAUAUACAUACGAUUCUUCAGGUUUUUAUUUAUAUGUGAUUUUUCAGGAAUUUUUUUAGGGAUUUGGGUGUUGAUUUUGUAGGGAUUUCUUGGGAAUUCAACUUGAAUUGCUACAGUUUUAAUCUCAAUGAAACAAAAGGUAUGAUCCCGACCUUUUUCUCACUUAAUCUUUAGGGUUUUGGCUUUUGCAAUCCAAUGUUAAAGGUACGAUCCUUCUUCUUCUUUUUUCAGUCUUUGUUUAAAUUUUUGACUAAUUGCUAGUUUCCUUGGUUACCGUUCCUUGGUUUUGAGUUUUGACUCUUACUUGCUUCUGUGAUUCGUUGUUUCGUUGUUUUUUUGCUUGCUUCUUUACGUUCUUGCUUCCUUACUUCUAUGCCUUUUAAUUUCUUGUUUUGCUUAUUACAUGCUUUUUUGAUUCGUUGUUUCGUUGUUUUCUUUUGCUUGCUUCUUUACGUUCUUGCUUCCUUACUUCUAUGCCUUUUAAUUUCUUGUUUUGUUUGUUACUUGCUUCUGAGAUUCGUUGUUUCUUUGCCUGCCUGCUUCUGUGAUUCGUUGUUUCUUUGCUUGCUUGCUUCUUUGAUUCGUUGUUUCUUUGCUUGUUUGCUUGCUUCUGUGAUUCGUUGUUUCUGUGCUUGCUUGCUUCUGUGAUUCGUUGUUUCUUUGCUUGCUUGCUUGCUUCUUUAGGUUCAUUCUUCCUUAGUUAUAUUAUAUGUGUCUUAAUUUGCUGUUUGCUUGCUUGCUUCUUUACAUUCUUGCUUUGUUACUUGCCUCCUUUGUUAAUUGCUGUGUAAUUCCUCAGUUAUAUGUGUGUGUUUGUGCUUGCUUUCUUCCUUGGUUCCUUCUGUGCUUCCUUAUUUUUCUUACAUGAUUCCUUGUGUACUUCCUUACUUGCUUAUUUGAUUCGUUGUUUAGUUUAUUGUUUGCCUCUUUAGAUGAUUGAUUCCUUGAUUCUUUACUAAUUCUCUUACUAGCUUUACUUAUCACACACUUAUUUAUUAAUAACUCUGUAGUUUCAUUUCUCAAAUGUAAUCAAAACUUGUAGGUUUCUUGUUUCCUCAUAAUUGGUCCAUCUAUCUAUUGAUUAAUCUAACACUUUUAUCAGCUGAGCAACUAAUUGCAGAUACCAAACUUGAUGUGCUACUCCUAUUGCCAACAAGGUUGUACCAAAACACAAUAGACCUUACAUCCAUUGGUCACGACUAUCCUAAACAAAAUAAGGUAUUUCCAUCUUAACAUGUUUUGUAAAAAUAUCCAGUCAGAGUAAUUAAACAAAAACCGGAAAAAGGUUUAUUAUACUUUCUUUUGGUGUAAAUAACACACAUGGAAUUGAAUAUUUUACUUUUUGCUUCUCAGGUCAUGUUCUUACUCAAACUGGACUAAGGUUUGUAAUAAUAAAUAUUUUUUUAUGUUCUUAAAUCACAUGAUCUAUACAUAAGGAGCUUUAAAAUGGUUGAAAGAUGUAGGGGCUAAACCAAUAACCGUAACAAGUAACAGAUUUGUGGCGAACAUAAAAUAUUUUGCUGGGUAAGUAAUCGUUUUUGAAAUUAUAUAGUAAUUUAACACACUGCUUCUCCUAACUUGUUUAUUUAGCAGUUAUGGAUUGUUCUAAAGCCAAAAGUUUCUAUGGGGGUCGGGUCUUUGUGCAGUCUGGUGUGUCACUUAGCUUUCUUGUUAUGUCGUCAAUGCAAUGUGCUAUCACGUUCUUCGGCUAGUCCAUGAGAUCUGGAAACCUAUUCCUCGAACUGUAAGUAUCUGAUCAUCUAUACUUCCAGGAUAUACUUUCACUACAUUAUGUCUGAGCAUGUCGACCUUUUUAUUACAUGUAAAAAAAUACAUUGCAACCCCCAAAGCCUCCAUACUACCGUGAAACCGUUCUUGUACGAGAGCAUGUUUCUACGGGAGGUUCGGGUAUUUGUGAUAAUUUUCUUACAUAUUCUAUUUGCAGAUAAAGCACCGCUCGAAAGGGGACACCAUUGUUGACUAUUGCUUAUCUGAUACACACGGAAAUCGAAAGCAAGAUAGUAAAAGCAAAGGUAUUUUUCCCAUUCCAUGAUAUCUGUGAAAUACAUACAACGACUAGACAAGACCUAUAACAUUUGAUGGCAUGAAAUUGCAGGUAAAUGGUUAUCUUGUUUCUACAACUCACGUUCUUGAGAAUGUUGAUGUCCUGGAGACUGUCACCUACAACAUUUUGUACCUUUUCUCUCAUGCAUUUUUUCCAUUUCUCGUUUUCUUUUUGUCCUACGUACGGAAAUUAUAAGUAGCUUCAUCUGCUCUACCUAGGUUUCACGAGCUUUCAUGUUCCUUUUUAUUGUUACAGCCCCUCUCAAGCAGAUUUCCAGAGACAUAAACAGUGGUUGCAACAUGCGAAAACAAGGAGUGCGAGACAGAAGAUUAUGAGGGUAUAUUAUUGGUAUUCACUUACUUUAUAUGCUUAUUGGCUCACAUUUACUAAUUCUUCAUGUCUCUCCUCUUGUUCAAGUCAAUGACUUUGUGGCAGACUAUGAUAGUGAUGCAGAACAUUCAAGAAAGAGCUUACAAUGGUGGGAGAAAAUCCUCGUCAAUGUCAAGCAGUUCCCACUUCCCAGUCACAAGACAAAAUCAGAUAUACAUCACGAAGAAAAAGGCAGAGAUAUUACAACACCCACUUCUCAAAAUGGAGCACUUGGUCCCAAAGGUGAAUUGAAAACACACAAAAAAUAGCAAUAGAAACUCGAGUUUAGAUGAGUCAAAUUUCCUCUUACCAGGUAAUGGAAUUGCCAAGAUUUUUCCUGCUAAAAGCUUAGACAGUUGGCGAGACACUAAAAGCUCAAAGGUCACUCCAUCGAAUGGUUCUGUGUAGUAUCUAUGGAUCGGAAAGGUAUGUUAUCCUUGAUUUCUUGUAGUCGUGAUUGAUGAUUUUAGCAACUCAAAAGUAAACCACAAUUUUUUUUUUGUCACAUUUUGGCAGGCAUAAUCUCAAAGGUUACAACAGUCCUUGUCGUUGAAAGGUUCUGUGUAGUAUCCAUGGAUCGGAAAGGUAUGUUAUCCUUGAUUUCUUGUAGUUGUGAUUGAUGAUUUUAACAAUUUGAAAGUAAAACUAGAUUUUUUAAUUUUUUUAUUUUUAACAUUUUGGCAGGCAUAAUGUCAAAGUUUACAACAGUGCUUGCAGCUGAAAGCAUCGCAGUAUGUUCUUGUUUGGUAGCCUUGAUAUUAACUUACCUCUGAAAAUAUUAUAGUUUUCAACGGCUCAUCUUACAAAUCUUAUAGUUUAUUCCAUGCCUGAAUUUGCCGAGGAAGAGGAUUAGCAGUAAUGUUGCUUCAAAUAGAAGCAAACAUUGAAAGCUUGGUAAUAUUUCCUAAAUUUCUAAACUCUCGUUCUAAACCUUUUUUUGGAUCUUCGCCCACUAAGCACUAACCCUUGUCUCUGUGGAUAUUUAACUCCCAGGUUAUUGUUUUGCGCAGGUGGAUCUAAUCUUGGGAUGGUCGAGUGGUUUUAGCUGGCCAAAAUCAACGGAUAAUGCUCAAGUUCUUGAGUGUUAAAGCCAAAAGACUCACGUUCUUGGCCAUGAAGUUUUUUCAUUUUUUUCUUCUUACUUGCUUCUUUGAUUCGUUGUUUCUUUUGCUUGCUUGCUUUGUUACUUGCUACAUUCAUUGUUUGUUUUCUUGCUCAACUUGUUUGCUUUUGCUGCUUCUCUGAUUCCUCUGCUUUGUGUAUUGCUUGUUGUUUCUUUGCUUCUUUGAUUCCUCUGCUUUGUGCUUCCUUGAUUUCUUUGUAUUGUUUGUUCUUUUGUUUUUGCCCAACUUGUUUGUUUGAUUCCUCUGCUUAGUGUAUUAAAUGUUUCUUUGCUUCUCAGAUUCUUAUUCUGUAUUGUAAAUUGUUUGUUUUCUUGCUCAACUUGUUUGCUUUUGCUGCUUCUUUGAUUCCUCUGCUUUGUGUAUUGCUUGUUUCUUUGCUUCUUUGAUUCCUCUUUUGUGUGCGUGCUUCAUUCAUAUGUUUAGUGCAUUGUUCGUUUUUAUUUGCCUCUUUGAUUCCUCUACUUUGUUCAUUACUUGCUUCCUUAAUUCCUCUCAAUACUUGAAGACUAAAAAGAUUGUGUGGGAUAAAUUUUUGUAUCAUGUUUGUAUUAUUAUUCACUCUUAUGUUGAAGAGAGUUACGCAGCGGAGAAAUCGUCUGAGGCGGUGCUGAGCUUUUCGUGGCAGCUUUUAAUAUGUCUUAAAGCUAUAUCAUUAGUAAAAUCAAAAUCUACAACGUAAAAUGAUGAGUUUUUUUUUUACUGGACAAAAUUGUGAAGUUUUUCUUCAAGAGAGACAGAGAGACACAUCCACAGAGAAAACAUUUUGAAAAACAAAGAGAGUACGAAACGGCUUUGAAUCAUCAAAGAGGACAUCACGAGGACUUCAUUAAUACAUACACUUACUACUACAAGAGAUAAUCAUAGAACCUAAAACCCUAUAAAAAGUUUGGGUUAGGUUUAUUGAAAGGUCCUACUACUUUAACUUUUCUUGAUUCAUACUUCAUCACAUCCUCUACGUUCUCGUGACUCUCUCUUCUCUCUUCUGUCUCCAACCUCUAUUAACUCUGUCUCCUCCUCUCUCUCUCUCUCUCUUUUUGUACGGAUACAUACAACGGAUAGUAAGACAAAAAAAACAAACAGAGAUGGUAGGGACUAUUUCUCUUGCUCUGCCUCCUUCCUUGUACCAUUCUUUUCUAAGUGUGUUCACCAUUCUCACAUCAUCCAAAACUUGUCAUCAGCUUAUACCAAAGCCGUCUAUCUCUUUUAACCUAACUGUUUUGUCUGAAACCGUGUAAUAUGUGCGUGAGAGACUCUACCUAACUCUUUUGUCCUUUCUUAAAAAAUAAUUUCUUGAUCAAAUAGCUCUAGAUGAAACAUAACUGGAAGUUAAGAUUUAUAAAAAUAAAUGGAGUUCUCAAAAGCUUAAUUAAAACAACCUCUCAUUAGCAAUUGCAUUACAUGCUUAAAUUAUAAGUUAUGAAGAGAAGAAAAAAAACUGAGAUGAAAAUUGCAGGUUCAAAGGGACUUAGUUCUUCUAGCUCCGGUUCAACUGAUGCUCAAUGGACUCAAACUCAGGGGAUCAGAUCAGAUCAUACCAGCAUAGCCUGCUGUAUCAAAAAGCACUGCUUUGAUUUGAUCAGGUAGUAUCUCCUGUCCUUCUUGACAUUGCUGAUAGACAAAAGAGAAAAGAACACAUGUUACUACUAAUAUCUUACUACAAAUCUGCAACUGUUUUAUCUAAGAGUAGAAGAUCCUUACCUCAGCACGGAAAACAUCCAAGGCAAACCCGUUGAAACAGCUAAUCACGGCUUGCUGAACAUCCAGUCCAAGAUUAUCCAAAGCUUUCAUGGUAGCAAGUAAAAGACCUGGUCUACGACCACAGAACAUAUGAAUGUUCACUGCUCUUCCUUCCCUUAAUCUAACCUCAACCUGCGAAAAAGAAGCAGAGUAACAUCUCAGACAUGAAUCUUUGUUUUCGUCUUUCCCGUCUAAGCAAAAGUUAUACAGAAUAUAGUCCUUACUCUUGCUUGCUGGCCUUUAGGACUUGGCAAAGAAGAGGGACAUAACUCUUCC
Molecule: long non-coding RNA, 5723 nt
Filed under: Capsella rubella
Lineage: Eukaryota; Viridiplantae; Streptophyta; Magnoliopsida; Brassicales; Brassicaceae
Description: long non-coding RNA (CRUB_LNC002482)
Source: RNAcentral